RNAcentral lists this small RNA (728 nucleotides) under Pongo abelii (Sumatran orangutan). RNAcentral's name for it is "retained intron". The record is from RNAcentral. Lineage: Eukaryota; Metazoa; Chordata; Mammalia; Primates; Hominidae.
CGCGGCGGGGCCGGGGUCGCGGGGAGGGGGGCGUCCUAGAGCUUGGCCUGGGCUGCUGGACUCUGAUUGGCCUGCCGGUGUCUGAGGGAGCGGAUUCGAGGCCAUUCUGACCCUCGCCCCUUGUCCUGCAGUGACCAUUGUCAGUGGCCUUCUCAUGCUGCUACUGUUCCUGUCUGAGCUGCAGUAUUACCUCACCACGGAGGUGCAUCCUGAGCUCUACGUGGACAAGUCGCGGGGAGAUAAACUGAAGAUCAACAUCGAUGUACUUUUUCCGCACAUGCCUUGUGCCUAUCUGAGUAUUGAUGCCAUGGAUGUGGCCGGGGAACAGCAGCUGGAUGUGGAACACAACCUGUUCAAGCAACGACUAGAUAAAGAUGGCAUCCCCGUGAGCUCAGAGGCUGAGCGGCAUGAGCUUGGGAAAGUCGAGGUGACGGUGUUUGACCCUGACUCCCUGGACCCUGAUCGCUGUGAGAGCUGCUAUGGUGCUGAGGCAGAAGAUAUCAAGUGCUGUAACACCUGUGAAGAUGUGCGGGAGGCAUAUCGCCGUCGAGGCUGGGCCUUCAAGAACCCAGAUACUAUUGAGCAGUGCCGGCGAGAGGGCUUCAGCCAGAAGAUGCAGGAGCAGAAGAAUGAAGGCUGCCAGGUGUAUGGCUUCUUGGAAGUCAAUAAGGUGGCCGGAAACUUCCACUUUGCCCCUGGGAAGAGCUUCCAGCAGUCCCAUGUGCACG